GGCAUAACCGGAUAUCCAUAGCAAAAAGGAAGAAAGGCAUAACCGGAUAUCCAUAGCAAAAAAGGAAGAAAGGCAUAACCGGAUAUCCAUAGCAAAAAAGGAAGAAAGGCAUAACCACAUAUCCAUAGCAAAAAGGAAGAAAGGCAUAACCGGAUAUCCAUAGCAAAAAAAGAAGAAAGGCAUAACCGGAUAUCCAUAGCAAAAAAAGGAAGAAAGGCAUAACCGGAUAUCCAUAGCAAAAAGGAAGAAAGGCAUAACCACAUAUCCAUAGCAAAAAAGAAGAAAGGCAUAACCGGAUAUCCAUAGCAAAAAAGAAGAAAGGCAUAACCGGAUAUCCCAAGUCCAUUCAACAUACAUACGUAAUGUAAGCGCGCACCGGACACAGAUCAUGUAACAUCUGUUGCUCUUCACAAGCAAUGAGUAGGUGAAAAGGGAAAUAGCAAAAAAGCUAAGGGGGAAAAAACUGUAUAGAUUAGCAUAAAUUUCAAGCUGGUUCAUGCUGGUCUAUGUUGGUCAGUGCCAGUUGGAUGCUGGUCAAGCUGGUCUGACCAGUAUGGUCUAGCUGGUAAUGCUGACAGACCAAGCUGGUCUUUGUUGUAAAAAAAAAAUUGUGCCAACCGUUAGUGGAAGUGUUGUACCAGUUGAUGUGGUUUUAUCAUUAUGUUGAUGUAGAUUGAGCACCUUGUUUGUCCACUCCCAGUUAUACAGUCUUUGUAAGAGGUUGUGACAAUCAAGAGCUUCACUGUUAAGAUAACUGUACAUUUUCCUGUGACUUAAUGGCAGUUGAUCACCAGGAAGUUCAUGUCAAAAACUGACUGUCACCUUGCUUGUUAUUAUAAAAUUCACGGUAACUUACUGUGGCUGAUCUUUGUCAUGCUCACCUGAUGUUGUGGUAGGAAGGUCAGUUUGCUGCCAACCUAGAGGUUGAUGACAAGUGAGGCUGGGUCCCAAGUGUAGUCACCACAAAUAAUGCAUAAUAGUUGCCACCUAAUGUUAUAAG
Oncorhynchus tshawytscha (Chinook salmon) is the source of this 1000-nucleotide long non-coding RNA. The record is from Ensembl. Lineage: Eukaryota; Metazoa; Chordata; Actinopteri; Salmoniformes; Salmonidae.